Lupinus angustifolius (narrow-leaved blue lupine) is the source of this 119-nucleotide non-coding RNA. NCBI's taxonomy places the organism in Eukaryota, Viridiplantae, Streptophyta, Magnoliopsida, Fabales, Fabaceae. The record is from Rfam.
AGGUGCGAUCAUACCAACACUAAUGCACCGGAUCCCAUCAGAACUCUGCAGAUAAGCGUGAUUGUGCGAGAGUAGUACUAGGAUGGGUGACCUCCUGGGAAGUCCUCGUGUUGCACCUC